GAGAUUUUCAAUGUAAUCAUUUCUAGACUUGAUUUGCUUAUUGUUAACUCUUGUGUUUUGGGUUUAACCAUUCUUUCGAAGAUUGCAACAAAAAGUUUUCCCUUAUCUUCUUAAGCUUUAGUAGGAUUCAGAAAGCUCUGACCCCUCCAUUAGGAAGACUGCAAAAGGAUGCUCAUUACUUCCUCAGGUAUCAACUUCUCUGCACUCUCAGUACCUUUGGGCCAGAUGGGGGUCACUGGAGAACCUAGCU
This is a non-coding RNA of Arachis ipaensis, 250 nucleotides long. Lineage: Eukaryota; Viridiplantae; Streptophyta; Magnoliopsida; Fabales; Fabaceae. The record is from RefSeq and is a predicted model, not a curated record.